AAAUGUGCUUCUGUUACAAAAUUGAAAUUUUGUUUAUCUGCUACUUUUAUAAUGAGAAAACCAUUUGUAUAAUUAGAAUAUUAAAUGACAGUGAUCUACAUUUUUUGGAUGUGUUUGCUGGACAGUUAGUCAAUUGGAUUAACUUCCGAUGGAGUGACAUUUACAAUUCAAACUGCAUUUGAUAGGAAGAAGGAUCCUGCAAAUUAGCUCGGCUGAGCUGAUCUGUGAUGUUUAUAUAGGCUUGGCUUGACUCUUCUUUUACUAGGCGUGAUCUUAGUAGCAUGAAAUCCAACUAGCUAGGGCUCAACUUGAGCUUGAUUUUAAUUAAUCUCAGACUAAAUAAAUUUUAAAUGAUUUCAAACAACCCAAACAUAGAACAGAAUACAGUUUUAUAAUAUUAUAUCUUUUCAAAGUUUCUGUUACUAGCCUUAAGCACUACAAACGGUUCACCCAUGGACCUAAGAAGAUUCAGUCAAAUGAAGAGUAAAGAACAAGUCAUGCAACUAAUUUGUGCUGCUGCUGUUAUUAUUUUCUUGUUAAUAUUUUUAUUCUUUAUGCUGCUGUUAUUAUUUUCUUGUUAAUAUUUUUAUUCUUUAUUUAUUUUGUUGAGUAGAAACAGGAGAAAAAAUUUAACCCAGUUUUUGAGUACUUAACUCAAGAGAUUGUAGAUUCUCUCUCAAGUCUACAAAAUAGGUAGAAAAAAGGAUAAAAACCCUUCUUCUUCCUCCCACCAACCUGACCAAAGACCCCUUACCCGUUUACAAACCAGGGCCUGUGACAACUUGGUAUCAGAGCCAGGUGUAAUGGGUGAAACCAUUCAAGAACAGCUGGAUCGAAUCCUUUCAAUGUUCUUGGAAGAACAAGCAAACAACAAGAACCGGCAAGAUGAGAUGAACGCAAAAUUAGAAGCCAUUGCCCGUGAUGUUUCUAACUCUAAUUCUGGACCAGAUGUUGAGGCCAGCAGUCAAAUUCGGCCUUCUAGAAACAAAGGCAUUUCAGGUACAUCCGAAGGCUCAUCAAUCCUUCCAAAAUUCAGUAAACUGGAUUUUCCCAAAUUCAGUGGCGAAGAGGAUCCCUUAGCCUGGCUGCAACGAUGUGAGCAUUUUUUCAAACACCAGAACACGCCGGAAGAGGAAAAGGUUACUCUAGCUUCUUACCAUCUAAUGGGAAAUGCUCAGUAUUGGCUGAAUGAGCUUUUCGACGAAAACCCAAAUCCCACUUGGGAAGAGCUUAAACAACAGUGUAACCUUCGAUUUGGACCACCAGUCCGCAGUAAUAAACUGGGAGAGUUAGCCAAAUUGAAGCAGGUGGGUUCCGUGGCAGAUUAUCAGACACAAUUUGAGAUUCUGGUUCCCCGAGCAGGAAAACUAACAAAAGACCAGAAGAUACAACUUUACAUCAGUGGCUUGAAAGACCACAUUGCAGUGGAAGUGGUUAUAUGAGAAAAGAACCCCAUUACCAUCGCGAUUUUCUAAUCGUUCAGUGACGGCUCCUAUAGAAUCCAAGGGCAACAGAAGUAUUCGGCGGUUGAGUCCAGCAGAGAUGGAGGAACGGCGAAAGAAAAAUCUUUGCUUUAACUGUGAUGAACCCUUCUCUCGGGGUCAUCAAUGCAAAAGAUUAUUUUGGAUUGAACUUGAUGAUGGUGAAAGUGACAUGGACACCGGCGAAGAAUCACCAGAAAUCUCUUUGAAUGCGAUUACAGGAACCCACAGUGCUCAAACUAUGCGUGUGAUGGCUGAAUGGAAUGGUAAAUCUGUUCUCGUUCUCAUAGAUUCUGGUAGUACUCACAAUUUCGUGGCUGCCAAUAUUGUUAAACAGGUGGAUCCGAAGAUUGAAAAGAAAGACGGACUUCGGGUUCGAGUUGCAAACGGCGAACAGAUAUUCAGUUCUGGUGUUUGUCGCAAAUCAGAGUUACAGAUGGGGGGCCACCCUUUUGGAAUAGACCUUUUUGUCCUUCCUCUAAGCGGAAUUGAUGUGGUACUGGGAGUCCGCUGGUUAAAAACUCUAGGACCCAUUCUUUGGGAUUUUUUUAUUAUGCGAAUGGCUUUCUCUAUUUCAGGCACCAAUAUUGAAUUACAGGGAAUCCAAAAUCUCGCCAUUAAACAACCCGUAAGCCUAAAUUCCGUCUCUUCCUUCCCGGAUGUCGAAACCCAAUUACAACACCUUCUCACCGAAUUCUCCGGCAUCUUCAAAGAACCUAAAGCUCUUCCCCCAAGCCGCUUCUGUGAUCACCGAAUUCCUUUGGAACCGGGCACCAGACCAGUUACGGCCGUACAGGUACCCUCAUGGCCAGAAAGAUGAGAUCGAGAGACAGUGUGCUGAGAUGUUGAAGAAGGGAAUUAUUCGACCUAGCCAAUCCCCUUUUUUAUCACCUGUAAUCCUUGUUCCCAAAGCAGACGGAUCAUGGCGACUUUGUGUGGAUUACCGGGAAUUGAAUGCUCAUACAGUUAAAGAUAAGUUCCCAAUUCCUGUAAUAGAUGAAUUAUUUGAAGAAUUGGGAGGAGCAAGGUAUUUCACAAAGUUGGAUCUAGUUGCUGGCUAUUAUCAGGUUCGCAUGUUUCUGCAAGAUAUCAAGAAAACAACAUUCCGCACUCACCAUGGCCACUUCGAAUUCCUGGUCAUGCCUUUCGGCCUUACGAAUGCACCAUCCACUUUCCAGGCACUUAUGAACGAGGUAUUUCAGCCAUACCUAAGAAAGUUUGUUCUUGUUUUUUUUGACGAUAUCCUUGUCUAUAGCAGAACAUGGAUUGAGCAUCUCCAUCACCUUCGGAUUGUUUUUGAGGUACUGCAAAAUCAGCAGUUAUUCUUAAAAAAAUCCAAAUGUGCCUUUGCCCAAUCACAGAUAGAAUACUUGGGGCAUGUAAUUUCUUCUGAAGGUGUACAUGCAGACCCAUCAAAAAUCCAGGCAGUUAGAGGACUUCGUGGUUUUUUGGGUUUGACAGGGUACUACCGCAAGUUUGUUCAUAAUUAUGGACUUAUUGCAGCUCCUCUUACAAACAUGUUGCGACAUAAAUCAUUUCAGUGGACAGACGAAGCAGUGCAAGCUUUCAACAAGCUUAAGGAAUUGAUGACUACCACCCCUGUAUUGGCUCUUCCAGAUUUUGCUCAACCCUUUAUUGUGGAGUGUGAUGCCUCAGAUUCUAGUAUAGGGGCUGUCCUCUUGCAAAAUGGCAGACCUGUAGCCUAUUUCAGUCGAAUGAUGGCAGCCAGGCACCGCUCCCUUCCAGCUUAUGAGAAAGAAUUAAUUGGGUUGGUUAAAGCCGUCAAACACUUGCAUUCUUAUCUAUGGGGACGUGUCUUCCUUAUUCGCACAGACCAUUACAUUCUCAAAUUUUUGUUAGAAUAAAAACUAUUAUCUCCUAUCCAACAGAAAUGGCUCAGUAAACUCUUGAGUUUCUCUUUUACAAUUGAGUACAGGUCUGGGCGUUUGAAUACAGUGGCCGAUGCUUUAUCGCGACGAGAAGAAGAUUCAACUGCUCUUAUGGCCAUUUCAAUGCCACAAGUUGGAAUUUUUGAGGAAAUCAGACGUGAACAUCAAACUUCCUCAGAAAUUCAGCAGCGGGUCUCUCUUGUCCAGCACAACUCUGCUGCAAAUUCUUGGUGUCUAAAAGAUGGGUUACUGCUCUUCAAAAACAAGGUUUUUUUGCCUUCCUCUUCUCCAUCUAUUCAAGCUAUUAUUUCUGCCAUUCAUAAUCAGGGCCAUGAGGGGUAUCAAAAGACCUUGUUUCGAAUUACAAGAGACUUUUACUGGAAGGGGAUGAAGACCCAUGUGCGUGAUUUUGUUCACUUCUCUAAGUUUGCUCAUUUCUUGCCCCUUUCGCAUCCUUAUACUGCUGUGAGUGUUACCCGUCUGUUUUUUGAUAAUAUUGUCAAGAUACAUGGGAUUCCGGAGUCCAUGGUUAGCGAUCGUGAUGUAACUUUUACUAGCUCUUUUUGGGCUGAAUUGUUUCGUUUGUGUGGCACUAAACUUGCUUUUAGUUCUGCUUAUCACCCACAAACGGAUGGGCAGUCCGAGGUGGUUAAUAGAACGGUUGAAAUGUAUCUCCGAUGCUUCACUAGUGCACAUCCAACCAAAUGGAUGGACUGGAUUUCUUGGGCACAAUAUUGUUACAAUACUAGUUACCACACAUCACUUCAUGCCACUCCCUUUGAGGUGGUUUUUGGUAGACAGCCGCCCCGUUUACUAUCUUAUGCUCCUGGAAGUUCAAUGAUUGAUGCAGUUGACCAAGCUCUCCAAACCAGAGAUGAAGUUUUGGGUUCUAUUCGGCAGCACCUACUUCGGGCACAAGCUAAAAUGUAGGCAAUUUAUGAUAAAAAGCACCGUCCACUGGAAUUUCAGGUUGGGGAUAUGGUCCUACUUCGCCUACAGCCCUAUAGACAGGUUUCAAUGGCCAAUAGGCGUCAUCAGAAGCUUUUGCCGAAAUAUUAUGGCCCUUUUAAAAUCAUUCAGCGCGUAGGAACCAUGGCUUACAAGUUGGAUUUACCAACAGAUGCUCGAAUCCACCCUGUAUUUCAUGUGUCUGCCUUAAAAGCUUAUAUUGCAGGGUUCUCUACUGAUCGUCCUUCCCUUCCUCUCAUUGAACUUGUGUCCGCAAUGCCUCAGCCUCAAGCAGUUUUGGGUCAUCGAACCAGAGCUGGGAAAUCUGAAGUUUUAAUUCAUUGGCAGCAUUCUUCACCAGCAGAUGCUUCUUGGGAAACUAAAGCUGAUUUGUCUCAACGAUUUCUAGAUUUCGCGAUUGAGGACAAUCGCAAUGUCAGCGGAGGGAGUAAUGUUACUAGCCUUAAGCACUACAAACGGUUCACCCAUGGACCUAAGAAGAUUCAGUCAAAUGAAGAGUAAAGAACAAGUCAUGCAACUAAUUUGUGCUGCUGCUGUUAUUAUUUUCUUGUUAAUGUUUUUAUUCUUUAUGCUGCUGUUAUUAUUUUCUUGUUAAUAUUUUUAUUCUUUAUUUAUUUUGUUGAGUAGAAAUAGGAGAAAAAAUUUAACCCAGUUUUUGAGUACUUAACUCAAGAGAUUGUAGAUUCUCUCUCAAGUCUACAAAAUAGGUAGAAAAAAGGAUAAAAACCCUUCUUCUUCCUCCCACCAACCUGACCAAAGACCCCUUACCCGUUUACAAACCAGGGCCUGUGACAGUUUCUCAAGUCAACAUGUGGUUUUCUCAGGGACAGUCAAUAUACACCCAAGUCUAUUGCCACUUUACCGUGGUGCUGCUCCUGUUCAAAGAGCAUUGCAGGU
Molecule: long non-coding RNA, 5236 nt
Filed under: Manihot esculenta (cassava)
Lineage: Eukaryota; Viridiplantae; Streptophyta; Magnoliopsida; Malpighiales; Euphorbiaceae
Description: long non-coding RNA (MESC_LNC000519)
Source: RNAcentral